AAUAAUUCAAAAUAUUUAUUAUUCCUACUUUUAAGUCUUAAUUAAAUAUUAAUUUUACCUUUAUUUAU
This 68-nucleotide transfer RNA is filed under the name Lernaea cyprinacea. Its description in RNAcentral is "tRNA-Leu". Lineage: Eukaryota; Metazoa; Arthropoda; Copepoda; Cyclopoida; Lernaeidae. The record is from RNAcentral.